UCACAAGUAUCAACAAAGUGAAUCAGUGGGGAACUAGUGCUGGAUUCAAAGUUAGCAAACAUGGGCAAGUGCUACCCCAUGGUGAGCGCGGAAUAUCAGAAAGCAGUCCAAAAAUGCAAGAGAAAGCUUAGAGGACUCAUCGCUGAGAAGCACUGCGCUCCCAUCGUCCUUCGCUUAGCAUGGCACUCUGCAGGUACUUUUGAUGUGAAAACAAGAACAGGCGGACCUUUUGGGACGAUCAGGCACCCUCAGGAGCUUGCACGCGAGGCCAACAAUGGCCUUGAGAUUGCUGUCAGGCUUCUGGAGCCUAUCAAGGAACAAUUUCCUAUCUUGACGUAUGCUGACUUCUACCAGUUGGCAGGAGUUGUUGCUGUAGAAAUUACAGGAGGGCCUGAGAUUCCUUUCCACCCGGGGAGACCAGUUAGUGAUCGAUACUUGUAAACAAUCUUCGAUAUUUAGAUGGAAUUAGAUGUAUAAGUAGUACUAAAUUAAUUAAUUCUUGUGUUUAUUCAGGACAAAUCUAAUCCACCCCCAGAAGGUCGCUUACCUGAUGCUACUAAAGGUUCGGAUCAUUUGAGGGAUAUCUUUGGUCGAAUGGGCCUCAGUGACAAAGAUAUCGUUGCCUUAUCUGGUGGUCACACCCUGGUAUUUUGAUUGUUCAGCAAGAAUAAAUUAAAGUAUAUAUUAUAGCAUACUAUUCUACCAUAUAUUUAAUGAUUUGCGUUCUUGGAUCUUGCACAUUUUUAUUUACAGGGUAGGUGUCACAAGGAACGUUCUGGAUUUGAGGGACCCUGGACCACCAAUCCUCUCAUUUUUGACAACUCUUAUUUCAGGUAAGACUUCUUUUAUGUUUGGGACUAUGUUCUUUAUUGUUUGAAUAAUUGAGCUUUCUAUAUGCUACUGUGUGAGCGUAGCUACCAGUUUGAAUCUGGAACCCAAUCCAAAUUCGAUUAGUUUAGUCUAAAAUCGAAAUCAACCCGAAAUUAAAUCAGAAUCAGGUAGUUCAGUCCACUUACAGAUUAAAACUUAGAUUUGAUUAAAAUUAGAUUGAAUGGGAACAGAAUCGGAUACACCCUGCAGUCAGGUCCUGAUCCCCUUGAACCAUUGAACCAGAACCACCCGAUCCGUGGCCAUGCCUAAUACUGUGAAAGUGCAAAGUAGAAUUGCUGGUUUUAUGAAAAGAAAAACAGGGUGAUGAGAAUUUGAUUCCUUUAAACAGGGAACUUUUAAGUGGAGAGAAAGGAGGUCUUAUCCAGCUGCCAUCAGAUAAGGCUCUUUUACAAGAUCCAGUCUUUCGUCCUCUAGUUGAAAAAUAUGCUGCAGAUGAGGAUGCCUUCUUUGAAGAUUAUGCAGAAGCUCAUUUGAAGCUCUCAGAGCUCGGGUUAGUGAAAAUUUUGCUUCCGGAUCUAGUUAUACUGUAUUUUAUAAUCGUGCGCCUUAUUGUUAUAUUUCAAAACUUAUUUCCAAAUUCAAGCGUUGUCUCCAUUUUCAGCUAUUGUGAUGCUGAGUAAAGAACAGAGAUGAGACCAGUAGAGCAUCUGCUUGGUGUUCAAUUGCUGAUGGAUUGGCUAGUUACUUCAUUUCCCUUCAGGCUUGAUUAGACACAUUUGCAAGUGAUUUAUAUUAGCAGAUUUUCCUUAAAUAACUCGAUCCUACAUGUUUGUGUCUUUGGACUGGAUAUAGAUAAAAAUUUUCCUGUAUCAUCUUGAACAAAUGAAAUUGUCUGUGCUUCAUUAUCUUCUCUUUUUUUUUUCUUAUAUUUUACAGUGAUUUAACAAUGGAAUUAUUAUUAUCUUGUUUAUGGUAAAA
RNAcentral lists this unclassified non-coding RNA (1809 nucleotides) under Hevea brasiliensis (rubber tree). The record is from RNAcentral. Lineage: Eukaryota; Viridiplantae; Streptophyta; Magnoliopsida; Malpighiales; Euphorbiaceae.